GACGAACGCUGGCGGCGCGCCUAACACAUGCAAGUCGAACGAGAGAUGAGGAGCUUGCUCUUCAAAUCGAGUGGCGAACGGGUGAGUAACGCGUGAGGAACCUGCCUCAAAGAGGGGGACAACAGUUGGAAACGACUGCUAAUACCGCAUAAGCCCACGGCUCGGCAUCGAGCAGAGGGAAAAGGAGCAAUCCGCUUUGAGAUGGCCUCGCGUCCGAUUAGCUAGUUGGUGAGGUAGCGGCCCACCAAGGCAACGAUCGGUAGCCGGACUGAGAGGUUGAACGGCCACAUUGGGACUGAGACACGGCCCAGACUCCUACGGGAGGCAGCAGUGGGGAAUAUUGCACAAUGGGGGAAACCCUGAUGCAGCGACGCCGCGUGGAGGAAGAAGGUCUUCGGAUUGUAAACUCCUGUUGUUGAGGAAGAUAAUGACGGUACUCAACAAGGAAGUGACGGCUAACUACGUG
RNAcentral lists this ribosomal RNA (466 nucleotides) under uncultured bacterium. Its description in RNAcentral is "bacterial SSU rRNA". It matches the Rfam family "Bacterial small subunit ribosomal RNA", at positions 28 to 507 of the family's 1533-position model. The record is from RNAcentral.